UAAAACCAGCACCUCAAGUGGUCAGGAUGAUUAUUGGGCCUAAAGCAUCCGUAGCCGGCUAUGAUAGUUCUCGGUUAAAUCCAUGUGCUCAACACAUGGGCUGUCGAGAAUACUGCAUAGCUAGGGAGUGGGAGAGGUAGACGGUACUCUGUAGGAAGGGGUAAAAUCCUUUGAUCUAUAGAAGACCACCAGUGGCGAAGGCGGUCUACCAGAACACGUCCGACGGUGAGGGAUGAAAGCUGGGGGAGCAAACCGGAUUAGAUACCCGGGUAGUCCCAGCUGUAAACUAUGCAAACUCAGUGAUGCAUUGGCUUGUGGCCAGUGCAGUGCCGCAGAGAAGUCGUUGAGUUUGCCGCCUGGGAAGUACGUACGCAAGUAUG
This 380-nucleotide ribosomal RNA is filed under the name uncultured Nitrososphaerota archaeon. RNAcentral's name for it is "bacterial SSU rRNA". It matches the Rfam family "Archaeal small subunit ribosomal RNA", at positions 471 to 851 of the family's 1478-position model. The record is from RNAcentral. Lineage: Archaea; Thermoproteati; Nitrososphaerota.